AGUGAACGCUGGCGGUAGGCCUAACACAUGCAAGUCGAACGGCAGCACAGUAAGAGCCUGCUCUUACGGGUGGCGAGUGGCGGACGGGUGAGGAAUACAUCGGAAUCUACUUUUUCGUGGGGGAUAACGUAGGGAAACUUACGCUAAUACCGCAUACGACCUACGGGUGAAAGCAGGGGAUCUUCGGACCUUGCGCGAUUGAAUGAGCCGAUGUCGGAUUAGCUAGUUGGCGGGGUAAAGGCCCACCAAGGCGACGAUCCGUAGCUGGUCUGAGAGGAUGAUCAGCCACACUGGAACUGAGACACGGUACAGACUCCUACGGGAGGCAGCAGUGGGGAAUAUUGGACAAUGGGCGCAAGCCUGAUCCAGCCAUACCGCGUGGGUGAAGAAGGCCUUCGGGUUGUAAAGCCCUUUUGUUGGGAAAGAAAAGCAGCAGGUUAAUACCCCGCUGUUCUGACGGUACCCAAAGAAUAAGCACCGGCUAACUUCGUG
RNAcentral lists this ribosomal RNA (492 nucleotides) under uncultured bacterium. RNAcentral describes it as "partial 16S ribosomal RNA". It matches the Rfam family "Bacterial small subunit ribosomal RNA", at positions 29 to 507 of the family's 1533-position model. The record is from RNAcentral.